Molecule: ribosomal RNA, 427 nt
Filed under: uncultured bacterium
Lineage: Bacteria
Description: partial 16S ribosomal RNA
Rfam family: Bacterial small subunit ribosomal RNA
Source: RNAcentral
UGGGGAAUAUUGCACAAUGGGCGCAAGCCUGAUGCAGCCAUGCCGCGUGUGUGAAGAAGGCCUUCGGGUUGUAAAGCACUUUCAGCGAGGAGGAAGGGUAGUGUGUUAAUAGCACAUUGCAUUGACGUUACUCGCAGAAGAAGCACCGGCUAACUCCGUGCCAGCAGCCGCGGUAAUACGGAGGGUGCAAGCGUUAAUCGGAAUUACUGGGCGUAAAGCGCACGCAGGCGGUUUGUUAAGUCAGAUGUGAAAUCCCCGCGCUUAACGUGGGAAUUGCAUUUGAAACUGGCAAGCUAGAGUCUUGUAGAGGGGGGUAGAAUUCCAGGUGUAGCGGUGAAAUGCGUAGAGAUCUGGAGGAAUACCGGUGGCGAAGGCGGCCCCCUGGACAAACACUGACGCUCAGGUGCGAAAGCGUGGGGAGCAAACA